GAUCAUGGCUCAGAUUGAACGCUGGCGGCAUGCCUUACACAUGCAAGUCGAACGGUAACAGGGCCGCAAGGUGCUGACGAGUGGCGAACGGGUGAGUAAUACAUCGGAACGUGCCCGAUCGUGGGGGAUAACGGAGCGAAAGCUUUGCUAAUACCGCAUACGAUCUACGGAUGAAAGCAGGGGACCGCAAGGCCUUGCGCGGACGGAGCGGCCGAUGGCAGAUUAGGUAGUUGGUGGGAUAAAAGCUUACCAAGCCGACGAUCUGUAGCUGGUCUGAGAGGACGACCCAGCCACACUGGGACUGAGACACGGCCCAGACUCCUACGGGAGGCAGCAGUGGGGAAUUUUGGACAAUGGGCGAAAGCCUGAUCCAGCCAUGCCGCGUGCAGGAUGAAGGCCUUCGGGUUGUAAACUGCUUUUGUACGGAACGAAAAGACUCUGGUUAAUACCUGGGGUCCAUGACGGUACCGUAAGAAUAAGCACCGGCUAACUACGUG
This 497-nucleotide ribosomal RNA is filed under the name uncultured bacterium. RNAcentral's name for it is "bacterial SSU rRNA". It matches the Rfam family "Bacterial small subunit ribosomal RNA", at positions 15 to 507 of the family's 1533-position model. The record is from RNAcentral.